Molecule: ribosomal RNA, 495 nt
Filed under: uncultured bacterium
Lineage: Bacteria
Description: partial 16S ribosomal RNA
Rfam family: Bacterial small subunit ribosomal RNA
Source: RNAcentral
GACGAACGCUGGCGGCGUGCCUAAUACAUGCAAGUAGAACGCUGAAGGAGGAGCUUGCUCUUCUGGAUGAGUUGCGAACGGGUGAGUAACGCGUAGGUAACCUGCCUGGUAGCGGGGGAUAACUAUUGGAAACGAUAGCUAAUACCGCAUAAGAGUAGAUGUUGCAUGACAUUUGCUUAAAAGGUGCAAUUGCAUCACUACCAGAUGGACCUGCGUUGUAUUAGCUAGUUGGUGGGGUAACGGCUCACCAAGGCGACGAUACAUAGCCGACCUGAGAGGGUGAUCGGCCACACUGGGACUGAGACACGGCCCAGACUCCUACGGGAGGCAGCAGUAGGGAAUCUUCGGCAAUGGACGGAAGUCUGACCGAGCAACGCCGCGGGAGUGAAGAAGGUUUUCGGAUCGUAAAGCUCGGUUGUAAGAGAAGAACGAGUGUGAGAGUGGAAAGUUCACACUGUGACGGUAUCUUACCAGAAAGGGACGGCUAACUACGUG